RNAcentral lists this ribosomal RNA (208 nucleotides) under uncultured bacterium. Its description in RNAcentral is "partial 16S ribosomal RNA". It matches the Rfam family "Bacterial small subunit ribosomal RNA", at positions 524 to 731 of the family's 1533-position model. The record is from RNAcentral.
UACGUAGGGACCGAGCGUUGUCCGGAUUCAUUGGGCGUAAAGAGCUCGUAGGCGGCUGUUCAAGUCGAACGUGAAAACUCGGGGCUCAACUCCGAGCCUGCGUUCGAUACUGGAUGGCUAGAGUCUGGUAGGGGGGAUCUGGAAUUCCUGGUGUAGCGGUGGAAUGCGCAGAUAUCAGGAGGAACACCGGUGGCGAAGGCGGGAUCUG